Molecule: long non-coding RNA, 1019 nt
Filed under: Amborella trichopoda
Lineage: Eukaryota; Viridiplantae; Streptophyta; Magnoliopsida; Amborellales; Amborellaceae
Description: long non-coding RNA (ATRI_LNC002250)
Source: RNAcentral
UGACUUUUUUCCAUGCAAUUAGAGACAGCAAAUAAUCUUUUCCACAUCAUUAAUUAGCAAGAACUUGGGGCCGUAAGAAAGCACAAACAGCAUGAGUUAGGUUCAAAACGCAUCAAACCUCUGCCAGCAUAAAAUCAAAAGACUAUAGCUGUGCUCGGUUUUGGAAAAUAGAAAGAUAAGGUAGGGUCCAUUACUCUUUUGCUUUCGUGAGGAGAAGAAAUUAGGGUUUAUUACCCGAAGCUGAAAGGAUAAAGAACACGAAAAGGAGGAUAAAGAAGGCCUUCGAGUUCACAACCUUUGCCAUGCUUUCUCACAAAAACAAAACUAGUUGAAGUGUAAAAUGAAUAUGAGGGUAAUGUGGGUAACUAUUCGUGAACAGGACUGCGUGUGGCUUUGGGCAAAUGCAGGGUACCCUAUUUAUAGCCGAGAGAAAAUUUCCCUGGAAUUUUCUGGAAAAUAUUUGGAUAAUUAUAAAAAAAAUAGCCAAGGCUCAAGCGACAAAAAUAAAUAAAUAGUCAAGGGAAAAAAACUGCUUGGUCAAGAAAUUAAGCUUGACUUUCAAAUCGUACUGCAUUGGAGUGAACUUUACUUUUUCUUAUUUAUUUUUUGAACAAUUGUUUCAUGCAGAGUUGACUGCAUUUCUAUAAUAUGCUGUCUAGAGGUAUAAAGCAUCAAUUUUAAAGAUGAAUGCAAUAGGUGGUUCAUUUAAAAACAAUUGUGAUUAACAGUUCAAAUGUUUUAAUAAUAUAAUUAUUAGUUUUAGUUUUUAAUAUAUAUAUAUUUUUUCAUGUUCAUGAUCUCCAUGUUAAAGAUUAUAUAUUCUCUAAAAAAUAGAAUCAAAUUAUAUUUAAAAAAUAUAUUUAUUGCCAAGCUCGCAUUUUUACUAUAUGAGGAUUGGCUGUAUCCCAACAGAGUCUUUAUUUUUUAUUUUUUGUGAAACUUGGAUUGUAGCUUUGGCGUUUGAAGAGUUGUGACACUUUUAGCUUUCCUUGCUUUGCCAGCGUGAACCAAUUAUUUCG